This 403-nucleotide ribosomal RNA is filed under the name Verrucomicrobiota bacterium. RNAcentral describes it as "Verrucomicrobia bacterium partial 16S ribosomal RNA". It matches the Rfam family "Bacterial small subunit ribosomal RNA", at positions 355 to 776 of the family's 1533-position model. Lineage: Bacteria; Pseudomonadati; Verrucomicrobiota. The record is from RNAcentral.
UGGGGAAUAUUGCACAAUGGGGGAAACCCUGAUGCAGCGACGCCGCGUGAGCGAAGGAGGCUUUCGAGUCGUAAAGCUCUGUCCUAUGAGAAGAUAAUGACGGUAUCAUAGGAGGAAGCCCUGGCUAAAUACGUGCCAGCAGCCGCGGUAAUACGUAUGGGGCGAGCGUUGUCCGGAAUUAUUGGGCGUAAAGGGUACGUAGGUGGUUUUUUAAGUCAGGUGUCAAAGCGUGGAGCUUAACUCCAUUAAGCACUUGAAACUGAAAGACUUGAGUGAAGGAGAGGAAAGUGGAAUUCCUAGUGUAGCGGUGAAAUGCGUAGAUAUUAGGAGGAAUACCGGUGGCGAAGGCGGCUUUCUGGACUGCAACUGACACUGAGGCACGAAAGCGUGGGUAGCAAACAGG